Amblyraja radiata (thorny skate) is the source of this 334-nucleotide long non-coding RNA. RefSeq lists it as uncharacterized. Lineage: Eukaryota; Metazoa; Chordata; Chondrichthyes; Rajiformes; Rajidae. The transcript is spliced from 3 exons. The record is from RefSeq and is a predicted model, not a curated record.
UCCCAUGUCCCAGAGACACGGGCUGGUAGAUCAACCAACCAGUUUAAGUUGCCCCCGCACCCCCGAAUUGUGGUGGUGUUGAUGGGAAAAUGGCAGUAGGGACAUGGGAGAAAAUGAGAACAUAGGAUUGGAUGAUUUAUGGUCAGUGUUCCAAAGAUUCACCAUUGUCCAUUGAAACCAUUGAAACCAACUAAACCAGAAAAAGCUUUGUCUUGGAGAAUAACAUUUUCCACAUUUGUCUUUGAGGAACAACCCCUUAUUAAAGAGAGACCUUUGAUACCUAUUCUCCCACAAAAGGAAACAGCCUCUGCACAUCCACUCUAUCCAUGCCUUU